CUUGGCUGUUUGAGGCUCGUUAUUAAGAGUGCAGGAGAGCAGACAUUAUACAAAGCUAUUGAUCAUGUGUAAAGACAGGCCUACACAGUCAAUCCCUACAGCCUAUGAAAAAUGCUCUGUUUAUGAGUGCAUCCUGCAGAGAAAAGCUGCCUUUCUCUGUAAUCUGUGCUCUGUCUGCCGAGGCAGCUGCUCCCGUUUGGCCCUUUAUCACAUGUUCACAGCUCAGGGAACAUUUCGUCAGAGGAGGCGAGCAAAGUACAGCGACUCCGGUUUGUUCUUUUGCUUUUGAAAACGAUCUUUGUUAAACUUACAUCGAAUGAAUGACAUCACUUAUUGUAUAAAGAUAUAUUGUUAAAAUUUCUACUUUUUAUCAAGAUGUAAAUUCACUUUGGAUUAUUUUCUACAGAUUUACCGGAAACGUUUUCACUGAAAACUUGUUGGGGUGUCGAUGACAAGGCAGCUGGAGAAAACACAAAGAGAACCGAGAGAGCCAGAUUACUUCAUGUGAAAACAUGUUGCAUGAUGUAUUUGAAUGCUAAAAAAUACUUUAGGUAAUUUUGAGCUGUUCACUCUAGUUUUAUGGGACCAUUACAUGCCUGUCAUUACUUAUCUUCUG
Non-coding RNA from Xyrichtys novacula (pearly razorfish), 616 nucleotides. Lineage: Eukaryota; Metazoa; Chordata; Actinopteri; Labriformes; Labridae. The record is from the annotation of a GenBank genome assembly.